GUCAGCGCACCUAAUACAUCCAAAAAUACCUUAAACAAGGUUCGCACCUUGGUUUAUUACACCAUUCUGAUUUAAUUUUUUGCUAUUAUUCAUAAGGAUUUUCUUAAAAAACUUGUAAGGUCCCUCAAUGGACAUGCUCUUAGAGCUCGCCAUCUACUUGUCGUGUCGAGAGACAAGGUCGGUGGUGCUUCAAAUCGACGGUUUUUCCCGGAUCAAGGUAUGAGAUUUCUCCUCCUGUGGCUUAUCCUUGUUUUUCUCACUAGAGGACGGUGAUUUAAUUUAGUGUGGAUUUCACGGUGGUGUUGUAGCAGAUUCAUGUCCUUCGCAAUGGCUCUCGUCUCCCUUGUUACUGGCUUUCUUUAGUCUUCAUCUUAGUUAAGACGGAAUAUUACUAGUUUCAUUGUAGAUUGUGCCUUGUGUGCGCUUCGUUUCGAUUGCGGGUGGUUCCAUUAGAGAGUGAUGAUCUGUUUAGUUUUCAAUUGGUAAUGAAAUGAUGAACUUAGAGGAAAAUUUUAUUUUGAAUUGUUUUAUGAGUACAUUUUUGGGUUGUUACUUCCAUAACUCAUUGUAAGACAUGAACACAACUGCUAUAAGGAAUCCACAAGAGCAACCUAUGGCUGCUGCAUUCCAUGAAAAAAUUGUUUCUUCUUCUUCUUUGUCUUCUUCUUCUUUUUCCUCAGCUGGCUGCUUGGUCUGUGUAGGAAAGCAUGGUACUUGGAUUUGCAUUCCACAGAUUCCGCUGUUGUUCGCGUAAAUGUUUGGAUUGUUCAAUCUGUCUAGCUGAGGACUUUCAGGGAUUCUACCUUUAAGCUUGUUGUUACGCAAAUCCAAUGUAUUCAGCUCGCUUAGCUUGGAUAACGUUUUCGGGAUUUCGCCAGUGAGGUUGUUGUGUGAAAGGUCUAAGCUCUCUACCUUCUCAAGAUCUCCAAAACUUUGUGGGAUCAAUCCAGAGAACUCGUUGUUGGAAAGAUUUAAAACCUUUAGGCUUUUGAGAUUGCCUAAAGAAGUUGGGAUUUCUCCGUGUAGCUUGUUCUUGGAGAGAUCUAAGAGAGUGUAGAGGAGCUGAAAUAGGGACGGAUAGUCAUAGCUGAGGGCUCAGGAGAUUUUAUCAUGCAUGUAAGAUUCCCAAGAGAUGAAGGGAGAUAUCCAUCAAGAUUGUUCUCAGAGAGAUCCAAGACCUUAAGGCUUGUGAGAUUUGAUAUGCCUUCUGGGAUUGAACCUUUGAGGGAAUUGUUUCUCAGGCUAAGAACCUCUACAGAAGAAGAUAACUGGGAGAUUAAACUCGCGACUGUUCCAGAGAUUUUGUUGUCAUGGAGAUCAAGACGGAUCAGAUAUGAAAGAUUUCUGAAGUUCUGAGGAAAUUCGCCGCUGAAAUUGUUCUGACUCAUUAAGAGCAUACUGGUGGAUCCUCCAAAGUAAGCUGGAACAUCCCCAGAGAACUCGUUCGAAGAUAUAUCGAGCCACUCAAGGUAUGACUCGGGGCGGAACCUCGGGAAUUCACCUGAUAAUCGAUUCUUUGACAAGUCCAACAACUUGAGAAAGGGGAUCUUUGUAAUAGACUUUGGUACUGAUCCUGAGAAGUUGUUUUCAGACAACAUGAGUACCAUGACCUGUGAUUCGCCAAUCGUAUCAGGGAUCUGACCAGAAAAGUUGUUCCUUGAUAGUACAAGAUAGUAUAAGCUCGGACGCUGAAACAAAUUUGGAGGCAGUGAGCCUGUGAGUCUGUUGUCUGACAAAGUUAUGUUUCUGAUUUUCAGAUCAGCUAGCCAUUUUGGGAAUCUUCCUUCGAGUCUGUUAAUGCUCAAAUCCAAGUAAACAAGAGCUGUUUGAUUCUUGAGCCAAUCCGGAAUAUUCCCUUCUAAGCCACAAGAUCUAAGUGACAGAUGUGUUAACUUAAACUGUGGAAAGACAUAACCAUUAUUGUUCCAUUGGAGUUUGUUGUUUCCUUCAAGCCGUAGUACCUUCAGCUUCUGAAGACCAAACAACCAAGCUGCGGGAAUCUCACCUGACAAGCCAUUGUUAUUCUCAAGCUGAAGGGUUUCAAGAUUUUUCAGAUUAUGAAUCGACGAUGGAAUUCCACCCGACAACUUGUUCAUGCUCAAGGACAGAGUUGAUAGAUUGACCAAGUUUCCAAUAUCAUCUGGAAUCUUAGAAGACAAGAAAUUGUUCUGAAGAUCUAUCGUUUUGAGCUUCGUUAACCGUGAUACAGACGACGGUAUGGAACUAUUGAACAUGUUCUGCCUCAAGGUCAGCGUCAGUAGUUCGACAAGACUACCUUGCAACAUUUUAAAAGAUUCUUGAGCUCUUUGAUGUCACCACUCAACGUACCGCCAAUAACAUUCCUGCUUAAAUCAAGACGCUGAAGAUUUGUCAAGGAGAACAAUUCAUGAGGAAUUGAGCCGUUAAAUCUAUUACAACACAUGUCAAGAGAAAUCAAGCUGGUCAAGUUCACAAACGCAUAUCCAGGAAUCUCUCCUUGUAUGUUGUUAAAUGAGACAUCAAGCCCAACAAGAGAGUUUAUACGCAGAAUCGGUCUCAAAAUGCUUGAACUAACUAAGCCAGGGGGGAUGAGCAAGAAUAGAUUCAGGUCUAUCACUUCUUUGGAAGGCGAACUAGCGUUACAUGUCACGCGUAGCCAUUUGCAGCAAUCUGAGUUUGGCCUCCAUGUCCCUAAUUCUUCAAAGGCUGUGUAGUUGUCCUUGAUGUUGUGAAUCAGCAAGUUCUUGAACUCGAGAAGGGAUUGUCUUUGAUCUUGUGGACAAGAGAAAGAUAGUUGUGGUAUGAAGAAGCAGAAGAAGAGGAAGCAGGAGAGAAGACAUUGCUUCGACAUUUUGCUUUUUGCCCCUUACUGUUCUUCUUUUGUCAUCCAAGUUUUUGGUUAAAAACCAAAUCCGAACAAAUCAACAAAGUUGACUCUGGUAGGGUCUCUCACUCUCGUAGCGUUUAAGUAAAUUGUUGAAAUUUCAUCAUUGUUGACUUGAAACCAUUGACUCCAACUACUUUACAAGUCCGGAAGUAUUUAAUACUAGCUAAAAAAAUCGGAGUAUUAAUUUUGUAUUAGAUUUUCGUAAAUUUGAAAGUGUUCGAAC
RNAcentral lists this long non-coding RNA (3089 nucleotides) under Arabidopsis thaliana (thale cress). RNAcentral's name for it is "potential natural antisense gene, locus overlaps with AT4G04220 (AT4G04221)". Lineage: Eukaryota; Viridiplantae; Streptophyta; Magnoliopsida; Brassicales; Brassicaceae. The record is from RNAcentral.